ACACAAAAACAAAAAAUGGCUAGCUUGAUAACUGCUUUACAGAUUAUUGAAAUAGUAGGUCUUAUGCACAGUAGGUACUAGCGCCAGAAAUAGUUCAUAAAUACUGACACCUGAAGGGUUGUCAAAAUGUCAAAUAUCAAAACUCAUUAAAUAUUCAAGUUCAAGUUAAACAAAUAUCGUUUACCCAUAAAAACAAGUGACCAGUUCUAUUGUAUUUUUGUCGCAAACAGAGUAUCGGACAGAAAAAAAAAGGAAAUACAGGACGGAAUCAGAAAAGAAGGAACACAAAAUAGGUUAACCAAGGAUAUCUACGUCGAGGGUGGCUUCUGGAUUGAUUGGUGGCAGGCAGCGUACCGCUUCCACCGGAUUGUCUGAAGCUCAGCGUAGAAAACGAUGGUGACAGGAACAAGAACGAUACCGCAACGACUGUGUCGACAAAGUUGGAAUCCGGAACUCAGGAUAACUGUCCAGGCAUCAAGCUGAUGGUGGCUGUGAUAUGUCCGCACCAGGGGGUGGCGGAAUGACUUUCCACGAUUUACGUUACCGUCUGAUAUAUUAUGUAUAGAUGUUACACCAAAAAGAACAAGAAAAGGAAAAGGCUCUAACGGCGUUAAACGAGCCAAAGUAAUGAUCGGUGUCACAUGUGCUUCCAGAUCCGCUGGGCGAAAACCCAAAAUAUUCCCAAGGGAAAUAAUAGAACACCCUUCUGGUAAUAAAUUUAGGUAAUGGAAUCUUCAAAGUAAGUAGAUCCUUCCAAAUUUAAAGGCUUAAAAUUUUCUCACAAAAUGAAGAUGUAGCAAAUGCACACGACAACCUCUUGUUCAAAAGUGACCGGAAAAGAAAAGAUAAGAAGCGAAGGAAUUUUAUCAAAA
This is a long non-coding RNA of Photinus pyralis (common eastern firefly), 872 nucleotides long. RefSeq lists it as uncharacterized. The record is from RefSeq and is a predicted model, not a curated record. Lineage: Eukaryota; Metazoa; Arthropoda; Insecta; Coleoptera; Lampyridae. The transcript is spliced from 3 exons.